Lathyrus oleraceus (garden pea) is the source of this 1180-nucleotide long non-coding RNA. RefSeq lists it as uncharacterized. The transcript is spliced from 2 exons. The record is from RefSeq and is a predicted model, not a curated record. Lineage: Eukaryota; Viridiplantae; Streptophyta; Magnoliopsida; Fabales; Fabaceae.
AGAGGACAAAUUGGCUCAAGUAGUCACAAGCAGCAUGUGAGUUUUCUUUGCAUACAUCAUUCAUCAAGUUUUCUACACAUAUACACACACAUCAUUUUUUUUCUUUUGAAUUAAAAUCCAAAAACCAAAUAAACCAAAGAAACUCAACAAGAAGAUACACGUUUAACACACACGCAUCACACAUAUCAUCAAUUCAUUAUACAACUUUCUCUUACAAACUCAAAUUCAUUUUUCAAUCAUAAAGAAACAUAAAUUAAUUCAAUCAUAACCUUUGAAUCCUCAUAUUUUUCACACGGAUCACCAAUAGUUAAACAUCAACCUCUCUUUCUCCAAUUCUAAUCUCUCUAAUUUUUCACAAACUCCCUCCUAAACUUUCAACCUCACAACAUAAUUUUCCCUCUUUUUUUUUCUUCUAUAAAUCAACUUGUUUCACCUCUAAAAAAAAUUAACAACCACCAUCCCUAAACUCUGUCAAAAUCAAUCCUUACAUUCACUCAAAAAAGCUUUCAUCAGAAGCUGCUCAGAGCUUCACCUUGAAGCUCUUAGAUAGCUCGAGCUUAGCCAUGCAUACAAAUCAACAACUAACACACAGUGGAAAACAAAAAGAGGCGGAGAGAAGAAUAGUAACAGAAGAAGAAGAGGUGCAGAAAAGAAAGUCAUACAUGGAUGAUCCGCCGCCGAACUACCUCUGGGAGCUUAGAAGAUAGAAUCGUGUUGAGGGAUGAAAACUGGUGGGACCAGUAUUUUUGGUGGUUUCGGUCACCCUCGUCGGAGCUUACGGCAAUUGGGGCUACUUUUCUGCGCAAACAAUGAGAAAAGUGAGUGGAAAAUAAGGCGUACGGAGUUGUUGUGGUUUUCUAUUUUCUUUUUCGUUCCAUUACACAUUAAUAACCAGCGACCUUUUGUUUUAUUAUUUUUAAUUCAUGUGUCAUGUGUCAUCUUAUAAUAUGGUGAUUUUUUUUCCAAAGGCAAGAUGUAGUCAAAGCUUGUUUGUUGGCUGAAGGAGGGUUGAUAGGGGACGCCCCAUCCCCUAUUUUUUAGUCUUUUUUCUUUUUUCUUUUUUCUUUUUAUUAAUUAUUUAACCUUUUAAUUAGGGUUUAAGUGUUUUGGGCCUUUUGAGCUUUAUUGCUCAUACACGUACUUUCAAACUUUUUUAACACUCUUUUUGUUUUAUUUGUCU